AUGGAUCCAACUGAAAACCCAGGGAACCGCAUUGGUCGCACUAUUUGGACUGUUUGGGGUUAUCUGUCAGGGGCUGUUGCAAGAUUUCUCAGACCGGAAGUCACAGAUGAAGGAAACCAAGGUGUUCGUACCAGAACAGAUGAUAUUGACUUGAAAAGUGCAGUUAACAAGAUUGACAGAGAAGUAACGGCAAAAAAUAGCAACAAUGAAGGGAAGGAAACAAAUCAAAUUGACAGUGCAGAGGUCAAGUGUUCCCCAUCUAAAGUCAGAGUGCAAGUGGCUUCUGUACAGUGGGAAAACACUGAUGUGGUCAAGGAUGACAAUAAUGAUGAACUUCAUGUUCACACCACAAAAAAACAAACUUACCAUUGUGCAGUGUGGUCCCCUGGGACUGAUACAGACAACGAAGGAUGCAUGGUUGACGCACUUGUUGAGAAAGAAGCAGUCUCAUCUGAUGAGGUUCAGGCUGAAAAUAUAUAUGCGAACAAUGAGUUUAAGGAGAGUGAAACUGCACACGAGUUGGAAGAAACUGGAAAGAUUGAACAAAAAUAUGGUGACAAUGAAGAUAUAGAAGAACGUGAUCAGAAUCAUAAGGGUGAAAAGUGUGCAAAGAAUAGAAAAGAUGCAUAUGAGACAGACGUAAUGGUCCAAUUUGAUCAAGAUGUAGAACAGGAAAAGCAGAUAAACAUGGCGGACCAUGGAGAGACAGAAGGCAUUGCAGGUUUUAAACAUGCAGAUACACAUCUUAUUGAUGAACAAAUUGUUGACCAGAAGGAUCGAGGGGGAAUUGCUUACGUCUCUAAAAACGAGGUUGAGGAGAUGAUGCCUGAAACUAGAGGUGCGACUGAGCAGGAUAAGGAGAAGAAAACUGUACAGGACUUGGAAGAAAUUUGGCAGCUUGAACGAAACGAUGGUGACAAUGAAGAUAAAGAAGAAUGUGAUCAGAAUCAUGAGGAAGAAAAGUGUGCAGUGGAGAGUGAAGAUUUGGAUAAUGCAGACGUAAAGGUCCAAUCUGAGCUUUAUGGACAAGAUGUAGAACAUGAAAUGAAGAUAAGCAUGAUGGACCAUGCAGAGAAAGAAGGUAUUGGAGGUUUUAAACAUUCAGAUGAACAUCCAAUUGAUGAAAAGGAGAACAAUUUAGACCAGAAGGAUCAGGAGAAAACUGAGAAUGAUGAAGAACAAGGACUUGAAUCACAAGUUCAAGAUCUGCAGAAGAGUGAAGAUCCAGAUAAUGCAAAUGUAAUGGUCCAAUGUGAGCAAGAUGUAGAACAAGAAAAGAAGAUAAAUAUAGUGGACCAUGGAGAGACAGAAAGAAUUGCAGGUUUUAAACAUGCAGAUGAACACCUUAUUGAAGAAAAGGAGAACAAUUUAAACCAGAAGGAUCAGGAGAAAACUGAGAAUGAUGAAGAAAAAGGACUUGAAUCACAAGUUCAAGAUUUGCAGAAGAGUAAAGAUCCAGACAUAUUGGUCCAAUGUGAGCUUUAUGGACAAGAUGUAGAACAAGACAAACUGAUAAACAUGAUGGAUCAUGGAGAGACAGGAGGCUUUGGAGGUUUUAAACUUUCAGAUGAACAUCUUAUUGAUGAAAUAGUGGAACAAACUGUUGACCAGAAAGAUCGGGGCAGAACUGAGAAUGAUGAAGACCAAGGAACUGAAUCACAAGUGCAAGAUUUGCUGCCACAGCUGGAAUAUUUAAAAAAAUAUUCUGAUGAAAUUGCUUGCAUAUCUAAAAACGAGGUUGAGGAGAUGAUGCCUGAAACUAGAUGUGCGACUGAGCAGGGUAAGGAGAAGGAAACUGUACAGGACUUGGAAGAAAUUGGGCAGCUUGAACAAAACGAUGGUGACAAUGAAGAUGAAGAAGAAUGUGAUCAGAAUCAUGAGGAAGAAAAGUGUGCAGUGGAGAGUGAAGAUUUGGAUAAUGCAGACGUAAAGGUCCAAUCUGAGCUUUAUGGACAAGAUGUAGAACAAGAAAUGCAGAUAAGUGGGAUGGACCUAGCAGAGGAAGAAGGCAUUGGAGGUUUUAAACAUUCAGAUGAACAUCCUAUUGAUGAAAAGAAGAACAAUUUAGACCAGAAGGAUCAGGAGAAAACUGAGAAUGACGAAGAACAAGGACUUGAAUCACAAGUUCAAGAUUUGCAGAAGAGUGAAGAUCCAGAUACCGCAGACGUAAUGGUCCAUUGUGAGCAAGAUGUAAAACAGGAAAAGCAGAUAAACAUAGCGGACCAUGGAGAGACAGAAGGCAUUGCAGGUUUUAAAUAUGCAGAUGAACAUCUUAUUGAAGAAAAGGAGAACAGUUUAAACCAGAAGGAUCAGGAGAAAACUGAGAAUGAUGAAGAAAAAGGACUUGAAUCACAAGUUCAAGAUUUGCAGAAGAGUGAAGAUCCAGAUAACGCAGACAUAUUGGUCCAAUGUGAGCUUUAUGGACAAGAUGUAGAACAAGACAAACUGAUAAACAUGAUGGAUCAUGGAGAGACAGGAGGCUUUGGAGGUUUUAAACUUUCAGAUGAACAUCUUAUUGAUGAAAUAGUGGAACAAACUGUUGACCAGAAAGAUCGGGGCAGAACUGAGAAUGAUGAAGACCAAGGAACUGAAUCACAAGUGCAAGAUUUGCUGCCACAGCUGGAAUAUUUAAAAAAAUAUUCUGAUGAAAUUGCUUGCAUAUCUAAAAACGAGGUUGAGGAGAUGAUGCCUGAAACUAGAGAUCCGACUGAGCAGGGUAAGGAGAAGGAAACUGUACAGGACUUGGACGAAAUUGGGCAGCUUGAACAAAACGAUGGUGACAAUGAAUGUAAAGAAGAAUGUGAUCAGAAUCAUGAGGACGAAGAGUGUGCAAUGGAGAGUGAAGAUCUGGAUAAUGCAGAUGUGAUGGUCCAAUCUGAGCUUCAUGGACAAGAUGUAGAACAAGAAAUGCAGAUAAGUGGGAUGAACCAUGCGGAGAAAGAAGGCAUUGGAGGUUUUAAACAUUCAGAUGAACAUCCUAUUGAUGAAAAGGAGAACAAUUUAGACCAGAAGGAUCAGGAGAAAACUGAGAAUGAUGAAGAACAAGGACUUGAAUCACAAGUUCAAGAUUUGCAAAAGAGUGAAGAUCCAAAUAACUCAGACAUAUUGGUCCAGUCUGAGCUUUAUGGACAAGAUGUAGAACAAGACAAACUGAUAAGCAUGAUGGAUCAUGCAGAGAAAGAAGGAACUGGCGGUUUUAAACAUUCAGAUGAACAUCUUAUUGAUGAAAUAGAGGAACAAAUUGUUGACCAGAAGGAUCGGGAGAGGGCUGAGAAUGAUGAAGACCAAGGACUUGAAUCACAAGUACAAGAUUUGCAGAAGAGUGAAGAUCCAGAUAAUGCAGACAUAAUGGUCCAAUGUGAGCAAGAUGUAGAACAGGAAAAGCAGAUAAACAUAGUGGAACAUGGAGAGACAGAAGGCAUUGGAGGAUUUAAACAUUCAGAUGGACAUUCUAUUGAUGAAAAGGAGAAACAAAAUGUUGACCCUAUGGAUCAGGAGAUGACUGAGAAUGAUGAAGAACAAGGAAUUGAAUCACAAGUGCAAGAUUUGCUACCACAGCGGGAAUAUUUUACAGAGGAAGCCGAUGACCUUGCAAAGCCUGAAAUGCUGAAUUUAAUGGAAAAAUAUUCUGAUGAAAUUGAUGAAUUCUCUAAAAAAGGGGUUGAGGAGGUGAUGCUUGAAACUGAGCAGGAUGAAGACACCACAGAAAUUGAACACGACACGACUAAAUAUGAGCUAAUGGAGUCAGAAGAAACCCUGCAGAAAGUUUCCGAAGAACUAUCUGAAAAAAAAGUACCAAAUGUUGAACUGAAAAUGACCACAGUAGUGGAUGAGUUUUUUGAAACCGUUUAUACAUUAGAAGACUCCCUGCUGUCGGAUUCAAAACAGGAUACUUCAGAAAAAACUCCUGAAACAGGAACUGGGUCAUCUAUGGUGGCCAUGAAAACUGAGGGCAUGGUUUCAGAUCUAAUUGUUUGUGAGUUCCCAGGAGAAUCGAGCAAAGGGCCAGAGACUGCAUUGGCGGAGACUGAUUUGGGAUGUUUUGAGGAGAUCAAAAGUAACCUACAUGAUCCCCAAACUCUUGCAGAAGAGAAAGCAGAAAGGGAAGCUGUGGUCGUAUGCUCUGUUGAGCACUCUGAGACCCUGAAAACAGUUGAGACUGAACAAGACAUUGAAACCUUAAUCGAAUCCUUGGGUACAACAGAAAGUCAUGCACAUCAGGAAAUGGACAAAACCAAGUUCUCACACAAAGAACAUGUUGAAUUAAGAACUGAACUGAGCGAAGAAACAACUGAUACAAAGAUCAGUUCAGAAGAUGAGGAAGCAGAACCCUCCGAGAAAGAAGGUCAAUCAUUAGUCAUCAGAAAUGUCACUUUACAGUCACAUGAGCUUCUUGAGUUCAAAGAAGGUGAAUGCAAAUCAUCUCUAGGAACAAUGGACACAUUCAGUGAAUCACUAGGAAAUUCAAGUGUGUCUGAAAUCGCUGAAAAUGCAGAGAUUGAACAUGUUGCAGAGGAGCAAACAGAUGUGAAACCUGUAUUAACAAGGUCUUUAAGUUCAGCCGGGUUUCUGGAGGAAACUGUACAUCUGCAGGAUGUAUCAGAGCGAUGCACCGAAGAGCAGGAGAUCCUGGAGACUGCUUUAGAGUAUGUAGAAGGAAUAACAAAUCAAGUCUUGAAGGAUAUGAUAGAAACAGAAGUUAACUUAGUACAAGAAACAGAACCUUUGGCAGGACCUUCAUCAGAAGAGCCUGGUGAUGCAGAAUAUCAGGGACCUGCACAAUGUGUGUCAGCUGAUGCCUUUGUCCUGGAAGAAGAAGGGAAGUUAUUGGGUGAGACAAUGGAAAGUAAGGUAGAAAUGGAGGUGGAAACCACAAGUAGUGAAGUUCUUAAACAAACUGAGCAACAUAUUAGUUCACCAGUGUGUGAAACGACUGAAGCUGAUGGAUGUCGUGAUAUUGCUGGAGCAACAGUGUUGAGUAGUCAUGAAGACUUAAUGGAAGUCAGCAGACCUGGGAUGAAAAGAGGAUUUGAUCAAGUGAACAAAGACCUUGCAGAGGUGAAGACGGAACGAAAAUUUGAUUUGUAUCUACAGGCAUUUGAGGAAUCAUCAUUGGACUUUACCAUUCAGAAGACUCGAAUUGCUGUGAAAAAUCCCCUAGUUCGGCCUCCUAAAGACCCCAGAAGGCUCCUCUUCAAGGCCUCAGUCGAACCUCUUGUCUCACAGCCUUCACCGCGUAGUCAGAAGGUUGAAGUCUCUGUUCCAAGUAAAGGGGUGACUGGAUUUAAACUUCCAGGACUGGGUGCAGAGCUGCCAGUACUGAGAAAAACUGAGUUUGGGAAGAAAACAAGAGAAGGAGGAGCAGCAGAGAGAACACUACAACCACAGCAAAAGUCAGUUGCAGUAACAGAGGAUUCUGUCAAACAAGAGCAAGCGCCAGUGCCAGUGCCAGCUAAACCCAAAUGGACACCGCCAAAGCAUCCUGGUAUGGGAAGUCCCUUCAUGAUGGCAGAACUCAAAAGCAAACUCAAAAAGCCUGUUCAGGAGUAA
Cyprinus carpio (common carp) is the source of this 5550-nucleotide long non-coding RNA. Lineage: Eukaryota; Metazoa; Chordata; Actinopteri; Cypriniformes; Cyprinidae. The record is from Ensembl.